UACGAAGGGGGCUAGCGUUGUUCGGAAUUACUGGGCGUAAAGGGCGCGUAGGCGGCCUUGCAAGUCGGGCGUGAAAUCCCUGGGCUCAACCCGGGAAUGGCGCCCGAGACUGUCGGGCUUGAGGACGGGAGAGGAUGGUGGAAUUCCCAGUGUAGAGGUGAAAUUCGUAGAUAUUGGGAAGAACACCGGUGGCGAAGGCGGCCAUCUGGUCCGUUACUGACGCUGAGGCGCGAAAGCGUGGGGAGCAAACAGG
RNAcentral lists this ribosomal RNA (253 nucleotides) under uncultured bacterium. RNAcentral describes it as "partial 16S ribosomal RNA". It matches the Rfam family "Bacterial small subunit ribosomal RNA", at positions 524 to 776 of the family's 1533-position model. The record is from RNAcentral.